AUAGAGGACACACCUGUUCCCAUACCGAACACAGAAGUUAAGCUCUAUAGCGCCGAAAGUAGUUGGAGGAUCGCUUCCUGCGAGGAUAGGACGAUGCGGUGC
Molecule: ribosomal RNA, 102 nt
Filed under: Leuconostoc pseudomesenteroides
Lineage: Bacteria; Bacillati; Bacillota; Bacilli; Lactobacillales; Lactobacillaceae
Also listed under: 2 other names
Source: RNAcentral